AACUGCCGUAAAACUCGAAGAAGAAAAAUAUUAUGGGAUGCACUUCUACUGGUGUGGGUGCAACAUCAGUCCGUGUAAGAUGGUGCCUAUUUUUUUUCUCCGUCUCCUGUCCUGUUUUCUCACAUACAUGUGGCAACAUAAAUUUAGUGCUGUGUGAAUGUGGCCUUGCAAAUUGUGUGACAGUUUAUCUACUAGGUAUGAGUUGUUAUUAAAACAUUUUAGGCUAAGACAUUUCCACCAUAGCCGGACAGGGCAAUAUCCAUGUGUAUAUCUAGACUGUCCUUGCAUAUUCAUAAGCUGGAAGAAACUUCUGAGUCACAUAUAUAGAACACACACCAAGUUAGAAACAGCAGGUGCUCAGUCCAUUACAUUUUCAUGUCAGACAUAAUUUCAUGCUUUUAAUAUUUUUGUGAGGCUUUAAUGUUAAUAAAGCUGUUGAAUCAACAAGGUGGUCUGAUUGUUUUGCAUCAUUAAGAUUGUACUGAAUGGAAAGGAAUUGCAUAAAUGUGAUGCAUUUUUAUUCAUUUGGUUU
Molecule: long non-coding RNA, 532 nt
Organism: Pygocentrus nattereri (red-bellied piranha)
Lineage: Eukaryota; Metazoa; Chordata; Actinopteri; Characiformes; Serrasalmidae
Exons: 3
Source: RefSeq, a predicted model, not a curated record